CGAAAAGUAGCCGCUGUUUUUUUGGAGCCGAGAAAACCUGUGUUUUUGCGCUUAGGUUGCUUUUAUCUAACUGAAACUUUACCUAGAAGCUUUUGGAGCUCAGACACUGAGUCUUUGUUGUGCAAGGAACUGCUGCAGCCACUUAAGGAGAUCUCUGAUAAUGUCCCCGAUUUAAGAUCAGUGCUCGACGCACAUUAACUUUCUUUUUUUCUUUCUCUUUUUAAAGCUCUGUCUUCGACUGGUGUCACGCGGCAGUAGGGGGCAGAUAGAAGCCCUUUGGACGAGGGUCACCUCGGUCCUUGUUGUUCACUUGAGAGCAGUGGAGAGGAAAACGGUCCCCACUGGCGGACUUUGGCUUCUGAAGCCCGGGGACCCACCGGUCCUCCCCACGCCUCCUCCUGGUCGUGCCUCCUUUUCCCGUGGAGCGCGAGAAGCCUUGUUCCGGAGCCUGUAGGGCUGAUCUUCUUGACCCCUCCUGCUCCCACGCCGGAUCCCCCUCCAGUCAUCGCAACCAUCCACCACCUCGGUUCCACUCAAUCGAUUUUUGCUGCAUAUCAACACUUACUACCGCAACUUAGAAAAUGACUCCUGAGGCUGGGACCUUAUGUACCAAGAUUAAAGCACGCGAUCCUUUCCUGAGAGCCCCAAGACUCGCUCUAUGAAAGCGUCCUCCGUUCAGAAGUAGCAAAGCUUCUGUGCCUGCACCAGCAGUUUGCCUCAGUGGGGAACCCCCUGACUCGAAGUUCAGGGUAGGAACCUUUUUCCUCCUCGCUCUGGAAUAUGAGACCUAGAAUCAUCCCUCCUGUCUUUGAAAGUGGUGGGGCACCGUAUCGAAUGUGAUUUGGAACUCAGACUAGUGAUGUCCAGCAAUUCUGCUUCUCUGGGUAGGUAGCAAGGUGGAGUUACUGCACCCAACAGAACCCUAAUGGCAUUUGCCUCUGCCCUACGGAAAGACUAGCCCGGAAGAACUAGCCUGGCCUUCUGGGGUAUCACUUCAGGCAGUUGCCUCCAUUUGGUUGACCGCCAGUUUCGCUGACAUGACAGCCUCACCCCGCUGUGUGCGGGCGCUGGGGAAGGGGGAGGGGAGGCUGUGGACAGAGGUGGAGACCCUGCAGGCCAUCCUCAGCGCUAAGGAAGGCGCUUUGCCUGCCAGAGCCCUAGGCUCAGA
Sciurus carolinensis (gray squirrel) is the source of this 1168-nucleotide long non-coding RNA. RefSeq lists it as uncharacterized. The transcript is spliced from 3 exons. The record is from RefSeq and is a predicted model, not a curated record. Lineage: Eukaryota; Metazoa; Chordata; Mammalia; Rodentia; Sciuridae.